Molecule: long non-coding RNA, 375 nt
Filed under: Felis catus (domestic cat)
Lineage: Eukaryota; Metazoa; Chordata; Mammalia; Carnivora; Felidae
Description: lncRNA (ENSFCAG00000048106.1)
Source: RNAcentral
AUGGAGGAAUGCCAUAAUGUCAUCUUUUGGAAAGAGGGAGAGAGUGGUCUUUUGAAUCUGACCACAGAAGGUGUCGGAACAGGAAACUAUGAUGUUGAAGGGCAUGUUUUCAGUUAUAAGGGAACCAGAAAACCACUAAGGUAUUUCUCUACUUUCACUUUAACUGAUGUUAUCUCUAUUUCUAUUUGUCUUAACCUUAGCUUGGAGAGUUAUUAGGUAGUCGUCCUGAAUUCUUCAUAAUUCCUUUUAAAGAAAGUUGACCAUAUUUUAAACUCUAUAGUUUCUGGAAAUUAAAUGCCAAGUUAUAUUUCCAUACAGUUCACAUAGAAUCUGGAGAACUAUAAUAAAUUAAGGGUGAGUGAAAAUGUGAAUUCA